AGCACCGUUGCUACGCUACGGCUUCUUUCUCCACAGAAGAGGAACGAUGGCUGCCAUGACGCAUUGACUUGGAAAAGCGUUUCUGAGCGUCUCAUUUACAACAGUAUGGACUAGCUUGACUACCUCUUCUUCUGCUAAGAGUGCCCAAAUACCGCUCCCUCGGUGCCUGCAGGCAGCGUGAACACAGCAAUGAGGAUAAGCAAGUCCAGAGACAAAAUGUUAGGUGAAUCUGAGGGAGGGAAAGGUCACAAGAUUGACUUCUGCCAUACUGCAAAGAGCAAAGCAUAAAUGAAAAUGUGGAGUGUGAGUUCCAGUGCAGCAUAUUACCAGUUACUUAAAGACUACAGAUCUGAUCCAUCCCCUCUUCAGUAAAAGAAUGUGGCAAAAAUUCUCACAUGGCAAGCUAUGGAAGGGCAUGGAGUUCGGCUCACUGGUUUGGACUAAA
Molecule: long non-coding RNA, 445 nt
Organism: Fukomys damarensis (Damara mole-rat)
Lineage: Eukaryota; Metazoa; Chordata; Mammalia; Rodentia; Bathyergidae
Exons: 5
Source: RefSeq, a predicted model, not a curated record